Molecule: transfer RNA, 69 nt
Filed under: Marmota monax (woodchuck)
Lineage: Eukaryota; Metazoa; Chordata; Mammalia; Rodentia; Sciuridae
Description: tRNA.Ala
Source: RNAcentral
GGAUUGUGGCUCAAGGGGUAGAGCGCUUGCCUAGCAUGCGUGAGGCACUGGGUUCGACCCUCAGCACCA